Molecule: ribosomal RNA, 468 nt
Filed under: uncultured bacterium
Lineage: Bacteria
Description: partial 16S ribosomal RNA
Rfam family: Bacterial small subunit ribosomal RNA
Source: RNAcentral
GACGAACGCUGGCGGCGUGCUUAACACAUGCAAGUCGAACGGAAAGGCCCUGCUCUUGUGGGGUGCUCGAGUGGCGAACGGGUGAGUAACACGUGAGUAGCCUGCCCUUGACUUUGGGAUAACUUCAGGAAACUGGGGCUAAUACCGGAUAGGAGCUCCUGCUGCAUGGUGGGGGUUGGAAAGUUUCGGCGGUUGGGGAUGGACUCGCGGCUUAUCAGCUUGUUGGUGGGGUAGUGGCUUACCAAGGCUUUGACGGGUAGCCGGCCUGAGAGGGUGACCGGCCACAUUGGGACUGAGAUACGGCCCAGACUCCUACGGGAGGCAGCAGUGGGGAAUAUUGCACAAUGGGCGGAAGCCUGAUGCAGCAACGCCGCGUGCGGGAUGACGGCCUUCGGGUUGUAAACCGCUUUCGCCUGUGACGAAGCGUGAGUGACGGUAAUGGGUAAAGAAGCACCGGCUAACUACGUG